Long non-coding RNA from Patella vulgata (common limpet), 1820 nucleotides. RefSeq lists it as uncharacterized. Lineage: Eukaryota; Metazoa; Mollusca; Gastropoda; Patellidae. The record is from RefSeq and is a predicted model, not a curated record. The transcript is spliced from 4 exons.
AAGUCUAUUUAUAUAAUGGCGCCACAAAGAAAAAUUUUUUGAUGUGUUCUAAAAGUGUUCCGCUAAUUCAGCAAUCUAAUGAAUCUGUCUUAAUUUUUCUGAAAUCGUGCUUAAUUAUUAUUAGCUAAUCGGCGCUACACCGUUGUUCAAAUACUUAUAAUUGCAAGAAACCCCCGACUAGGACCAGCAGGUAAGAAUCUGUCUUGAUUUUAUAGUAAUACCCGGUUGCAAUUAUUGGCCGCCAUCUUUGAUUUUUAUAGACGUUCGGGCAAAAGGAGAAAUGUAUAUCCAGACAUGGACUAUAGCUAGAUACUAACUUUUGUGUUAGUUGUUUAGUUGAAAUGUAAUCUUAUUUCUGUAAAAGAAAAAAACAACAACAAACAAAUCAGCCUUUUUUUUAUAUCAAUGUCAUCAAUGUGUAGGCCUAAUAUUAGACUUUCAAUGAUUCAGAAGUUUCUCUACAGUUUCGUUAUUUUUUUUUCCAGUCAUUGAUGUUAGCAUGUACUACACAAAGAAAAACAGGCAAAGCAUGAAGCCAAAGGAAAUGUUUUUACCAAGGCAUGUUCCUCAAUAGCGGAGAGAGUUUUAUCCAGUGUCGGUUCUGCAGAAGAACCCAUUAAUAGCAGACCACCCAUUGCAGCACUUGUAAGGUCGCUAUAAAGAACCCGACAGACUGCGACCAAAAGAUCCCACUGACGUGUCGUCAAGCCUUGACGAAGAUUUCAUCGAUCAUAGUGCACCGGGAUUUUAUCAAAAAGGAGUAAAAGUUGGGGAAAGCCGCCAUCACAUUUUUUGUACUGAUAGACAGAUGCAACUACUCGCACGCGCAAAAACUUGGUAUAUGGAUGCAACUUUUCAGGUGGUGAACAAGCCAUGGUCUCAGCUGUUUUCCAUCCACGCCUUCAUUAAGACUGGAGAGACCACCCGACAGUUACCAUUGGUGUUUUGUGUAAUGUCGGGUAAAAGCCAAGACGACUAUUAUACGGUAAAUAGCACUUACUGAUUGAAUUACUAUUAAUAGUAAAAAAGGACUAUUAUUUGGGACCUUGAAAUUGUCACAAAUGGGUCGCACUAACAGCGACAUUUGUUUCAGGCAUAUUUGUUUCAUCGGGGACACGUCUGGUGUCAUGUGAAUGCAACGACAACAGCCCGAUUGAUUGAUUUGUUGAUUGGAGUUCAGAUGUCUACAUUAAAAUCGACCACUUUCAGGUUGCCGUAUUCACGGCCAGUUUCCAUAUUAGAUGCCAUAGCAAAUCAAAGAUCAUAUAAUAAAAUAAGUCAAAAAACCCAAAUAUGGAAAAAGAAAGAGCUGAAGAAAUGGUGAUUUGAGCACCUAUGCUUUCUCAUAGGUGUUUUUGGAGGGUGAGUGUUCAAUUCUAAUAGAAAAGAUUGUUGUUAUGGUAUUUUAGAAUCUCACCAUAAUGUGUUUGGCACAAUAUAUCCCGGUUGGAGCUGAUGUGACAUAAACCUCCAUUUCAUUUUAUUGUUUUGAAAUUUAAAAUUCAGUUUAGUAUAGUAAAUUUGUACACGUACAUGUAUGUGCACAAACAGAAUCUUACUUAUGUCCAGAUACAUGUAGAUAUGACUGUCUCAUCUGUGGGGGACCACGGUGGCCAAGUGGGUUAGACACUGGCUCGCAUAUUUUAAGGUCGCGGGUUUGCAGUAAGACAUUGCAGUACGGAGGACUGGGCUAAUGAAGUUGGGCAUAUGCCAUACAGUGUGCUACGAGAGAAAUUUUGCCGGGUACCGUGACCUUAAGGCCUUCUCUUGUAUCAAAUUCUAACUGCCAGGGGAUCUUUUACAUGCACACCAAUGUGUAC